CGGACGUGGGUAACCUGCCUCACACAGGGGGAUAGCAGUUGGAAACGGCUGAUAAUACCGCAUAAGCGCACAGUACCGCAUGGUACAGUGUGAAAAACUCCGGUGGUGUGAGAUGGACCCGCGUCUGAUUAGCUUGUUGGCAGGGUAACGGCCUACCAAGGCAACGAUCAGUAGCUGACCUGAGAGGGUGACCGGCCACAUUGGGACUGAGACACGGCCCAG
This 222-nucleotide ribosomal RNA is filed under the name uncultured bacterium. Its description in RNAcentral is "partial 16S ribosomal RNA". It matches the Rfam family "Bacterial small subunit ribosomal RNA", at positions 112 to 334 of the family's 1533-position model. The record is from RNAcentral.